This 492-nucleotide ribosomal RNA is filed under the name uncultured bacterium. RNAcentral's name for it is "partial 16S ribosomal RNA". It matches the Rfam family "Bacterial small subunit ribosomal RNA", at positions 29 to 507 of the family's 1533-position model. The record is from RNAcentral.
AGUGAACGCUGGCGGUAGGCCUAACACAUGCAAGUCGAACGGCAGCACAGUAAGAGCUUGCUCUUACGGGUGGCGAGUGGCGGACGGGUGAGGAAUACAUCGGAAUCUACUUUUUCGUGGGGGAUAACGCAGGGAAACUUACGCUAAUACCGCAUACGACCUACGGGUGAAAGCAGGGGAUCUUCGGACCUUGCGCGAUUGAAUGAGCCGAUGUCGGAUUAGCUAGUUGGCGGGGUAAGGGCCCACCAAGGCGACGAUCCGUAGCUGGUCUGAGAGGAUGAUCAGCCACACUGGAACUGAGACACGGUCCAGACUCCUACGGGAGGCAGCAGUGGGGAAUAUUGGACAAUGGGCGCAAGCCUGAUCCAGCCAUACCGCGUGGGUGAAGAAGGCCUUCGGGUUGUAAAGCCCUUUUGUUGGGAAAGAAAAGCAGCAGGUUAAUACCCCGCUGUUCUGACGGUACCCAAAGAAUAAGCACCGGCUAACUUCGUG